AUCCAGCUGACGAGUCCCAAAUAGGACGGAAAUGCGGAUCCUGGAU
RNAcentral lists this non-coding RNA (46 nucleotides) under Trichobilharzia regenti. Lineage: Eukaryota; Metazoa; Platyhelminthes; Trematoda; Strigeidida; Schistosomatidae. The record is from RNAcentral.